RNA transcript from Humulus lupulus (European hop), 1571 nucleotides. RefSeq lists it as uncharacterized. The transcript is spliced from 7 exons. NCBI's taxonomy places the organism in Eukaryota, Viridiplantae, Streptophyta, Magnoliopsida, Rosales, Cannabaceae. The record is from RefSeq and is a predicted model, not a curated record.
GAGGUUGCAACAAUAAUUACUGGACAAGCCUAGUACUUUUCCAUUUGAUGAGAUUGCAAAUCUGUUAACUUUACAGGGAAAUACUGAGCCAUUAAUCCGUAAUGGCAUGACCCUUAAGUCAUGUUCUCCUAUAGUUGGUGUCGACGUGAUGUCCUUUGUUACAGAAAGAGAAGUCUUGCUAGCUUGGAGGGUGGUACUGAAAGAAAAUCUAGUUCUAACAUUAUUUAGGGAUGAGGUGAGACUUUCCAUUUAUAUUUGUCUAAUGAAACAUGUUAUCAAAUUGAAGAAGUUGACUGUUUUCUUGACUUUAAAAUAUGCAGUAUAUACUUUUGCAUGAGGAAUAUCAGCUCUAUGUUCUACCCAGAAUUUUGGAAUCAAAGAGGAUGGCAAAAUCUGGACGCACCAAGCAAAAAGAAGCAGAUUUGGAAUAUAGUGUUGCAAAGCAGGUUGAAAAAAUGAUUAGUCACAGAAACAUGAGGAAGAACAACAAUCCGGUGGAUCAUGCAAGGAAAGUUCAUCCCAGCUUGUUUCAUUCUCUUUAUCUCAUGCCAACAUUCCUCUACCACCUACCUUAGAGUUGAAGGAUUCUUCAGAAAUGGAUAUGUCUGAUGUUCAAAAGAAUCUCAAAUGUUUGUACGAGUACAAUGUCAUGCUGAGGGAGAAAUUUUUAUCUGUGCAAUCUAUGCUUCAUGAGUUAGCAACAAAGUCCUUGCCUCCUGCAAAUGAUGACAUUCCUAACACCUCAAAGUUUUUCAAGCAAGUCUUCAUGAUUGGGUUGCUUCUAGCUCCUCUGGAUCCACAAGGGAUUGCAUUCUACUUGGAGCUUGUGAAGCACAUGAGACUCUUCCACAAAGUGCUGAAUUUCCUGCAGAUGUGUUUACGUCUUGUCUCACAACACCUAUUAAGAUGGCUUUGAGAUGGAAAGGAAGCUUACAAAAUAUGUGAAAGGGAACUGCUGGAAGCAAGGGGAAAAACGAAUUCUGAAAGGGGCGUGUUGCUACUUCAAUGCUGUAACAUCACCACACAGCAAUUCAAGGGAUCAGGCAGGUGACGUGGCUAGAAGACAGCUGGACUUAGUGAGUGAAAUCAACGCCUAUGUGGCUAGAAUUUUAAUAACUUAAGUCAGCUGGGUGAUGUGGCACUUUGAGGACAAGGUGGGAAUUGACUUUCCUAUUAGGGUAAGGCAAAGUACCCUAAAAAGGAGGGGGCAGCCGCAACAGAAGGGAACGAUUAUUCUGAAAGAAUUUCAUCACCAUUUUGAAGAAAGAAAAGAAGUACAGAGGAGAGCUGAAGAAAACAGAGAGAAAAUACCAAAAAGGGAAGAGGACUACGGCAGACGCCUAGGAGGACUUGAGCUCAUCAAUUCAUUCUACUCUUUCCUUCUUCCUUUUAAUUUUGUAUUAAAUUUUCUCUCCAUUUCAACUGUGAACAACUCUAUGGAUACUCUAUUUGCUACUGGUUUUGUACUUUUCAUUUCAGACAUGAACUAAUAGUCUAAGGAUUUGGGUGGUUAUGAACCCUAUAUUAUGAAUUAAUGUUUUGAUGCAUGGUUAAAGUAAUUGUAUCCUUGU